GGCCAGGCUGAAGACUUUGCCGGAUUAGCUGAGAGGUGUGCAUGGCCGUCGUCAGUUCGUACUGUGAAGCAUCCUGUUAAGUCAGGCAACGAGCGAGACCCACGCCCACAGUUGCCAGCGUACUCUCCGGAGUGACGGGUACACUGUGGGGACCGCCGCUGCUAAAGCGGAGGAGGAAUGGGCAACGGUAGGUCAGUAUGCCCCGAAUAUCCCGGGCUACACGCGAGCUACAAUGGUUGGUACAAUGGGUAUCUACCCCGAAAGGGGAUGGAAAUCUCCUAAAGCCAAUCUUAGUCCGGAUUGAGGGCUGCAACUCGCCCUCAUGAAGCUGGAAUCCGUAGUAAUCGCGUUUCAACAGAACGCGGUGAAUACGUCCCUGCUCCUU
RNAcentral lists this ribosomal RNA (385 nucleotides) under uncultured Methanosaeta sp. RNAcentral describes it as "bacterial SSU rRNA". It matches the Rfam family "Archaeal small subunit ribosomal RNA", at positions 952 to 1338 of the family's 1478-position model. Lineage: Archaea; Methanobacteriati; Methanobacteriota; Methanomicrobia; Methanotrichales; Methanotrichaceae. The record is from RNAcentral.